GCGUCCUUAGCUCAGUUGGAUAGAGCAACGGCCUUCUAAGCCGUGGGUCGCAGGUUCGAAUCCUGCAGGACGCGCCA
RNAcentral lists this transfer RNA (77 nucleotides) under Catenovulum adriaticum. RNAcentral's name for it is "Catenovulum sp. TS8 tRNA-Arg". It matches the Rfam family "tRNA". From Rfam's summary of the family: Transfer RNA (tRNA) molecules are approximately 80 nucleotides in length. Their secondary structure includes four short double-helical elements and three loops (D, anti-codon, and T loops). Lineage: Bacteria; Pseudomonadati; Pseudomonadota; Gammaproteobacteria; Alteromonadales; Alteromonadaceae. The record is from RNAcentral.